Molecule: long non-coding RNA, 340 nt
Filed under: Erythranthe guttata (spotted monkey flower)
Lineage: Eukaryota; Viridiplantae; Streptophyta; Magnoliopsida; Lamiales; Phrymaceae
Description: long non-coding RNA (EGUT_LNC002162)
Source: RNAcentral
UAUUUUGUGGUGUAAAAUUUCGUGCUUAUGGUGUAGAGACAUGUUGCUUUUAUAGGCUUUUCUUGAUAAGGAAGUAGUAGAAACCUAAUAGGAAUCAAUUUCCGCCACUUUCCCCCAUCAGGACUUGUUCUUCGAUUUUCGCCAUGUUUGAGUCCGAAUUUUGGAAUAUUGUGUAAAUAAGAAUUGUAGCCCUUGAAAUUAGCUUUCCAAUGCCGCCAAAAUCACCUAAUUCGGAGUUUGUAUGAGAGAGAUAUGCUCGAAAUCGUGGACACUGUCAAAGCUGUGGCGAGAUUCCUUCUUCCAAUUUGAUUUGUUUCCUUAUUUGCAACUUUUUCCUUUC